Long non-coding RNA from Sinocyclocheilus grahami, 311 nucleotides. RefSeq lists it as uncharacterized. The record is from RefSeq and is a predicted model, not a curated record. Lineage: Eukaryota; Metazoa; Chordata; Actinopteri; Cypriniformes; Cyprinidae. The transcript is spliced from 3 exons.
CUGAUCUCUACAAGCAAAGGAGAGGACAGCGAGGAGAGAAUAUGAGGUAGACAGGACUUUACACGGGAAUAAUGGCGGCGCCGCUCCGGCGGGACACCUUACCUGACAACUACUCUUAUGGGGUGUGCAGGGACGGCAGGGUCUUUUUCUUAGACGAUGAGACGAGAAGCACUUCCUGGCUUCAUCCCUGCACUGGUGAACCUGUCAAUUCUGGGCACAUGAUCCGAUCCGAUCUACCCACAGGUUGGGAGGAAGGGUUUAUGAAGGAAGGAGCGAGUUUCUUUAUUGAGUAAGUGGAUGUGUUUAUAGUA